This 304-nucleotide ribosomal RNA is filed under the name uncultured bacterium. RNAcentral's name for it is "partial 16S ribosomal RNA". It matches the Rfam family "Bacterial small subunit ribosomal RNA", at positions 506 to 807 of the family's 1533-position model. The record is from RNAcentral.
CAGCAGUCGCCACGGUAAUACGAAGGGUGCAAGCGUUAAUCGGAAUUACUGGGCGUAAAGCGUGCGUAGGCGGUGAGUUAAGUCUGCUGUGAAAUCCCCGGGCUCAACCUGGGAAUGGCAGUGGAUACUGGCUCGCUAGAGUGUGUCGGAGGAUGGUGGAAUUCCCGGUGUAGCGGUGAAAUGCGUAGAGAUCGGGAGGAACAUCAGUGGCGAAGGCGGCCAUCAGGGACAACACUGACGCUGAGGCACGAAAGCGUGGGGAGCAAACAGGAUUAGAUACCCCCGUAGUCCCUGUCUCUUAUAC